AUUGAACGCUGGCGGAAUGCCUUACACAUGCAAGUCGAGCGGCAGCGCGGGGCAACCUGGCGGCGAGCGGCGAACGGGUGAGUAACAUAUCGGAACGUACCCAUUGGUGGGGGAUAACACAUCGAAAGAUGUGCUAAUACCGCAUACGACCUGAGGGUGAAAGGGGGGGCUCGCAAGACCUCUCGCCGUUGGCGCGGCCGAUAUCGGAUUAGCUAGUUGGUGGGGUAAAGGCUCACCAAGGCGACGAUCCGUAGCUGGUCUGAGAGGACGACCAGCCACACUGGGACUGAGACACGGCCCAGACUCCUACGGGAGGCAGCAGUGGGGAAUUUUGGACAAUGGGGGCAACCCUGAUCCAGCCAUUCCGCGUGAGUGAAGAAGGCCUUCGGGUUGUAAAGCUCUUUCAGCAGGAACGAAACGGUGUGGGUUAAUACCCUGCAUCAAUGACGGUACCUGAAGAAGAAGCACCGGCUAACUACGUGCCAGCAGCCGCAGUAA
RNAcentral lists this ribosomal RNA (498 nucleotides) under uncultured bacterium. RNAcentral's name for it is "partial 16S ribosomal RNA". It matches the Rfam family "Bacterial small subunit ribosomal RNA", at positions 29 to 523 of the family's 1533-position model. The record is from RNAcentral.